AUGCUUGCAUCAGCAGCACAUCUACUAGAACUGGACUGAUACAGAGAAGAUUAGCAUGGCCCCUCUGCAAGGAUGGCAUGCAAAUUAGUGAAGCAUUCCAUAUUUUU
RNAcentral lists this small nuclear RNA (107 nucleotides) under Dasypus novemcinctus (nine-banded armadillo). The record is from RNAcentral. Lineage: Eukaryota; Metazoa; Chordata; Mammalia; Cingulata; Dasypodidae.